UAAACGAUGUCGACUUGGAGGUUGUGCCCUUGAGGCGUGGCUUCCGGAGCUAACGCGUUAAGUCGACCGCCUGGGGAGUACGGCCGCAAGGUUAAAACUCAAAUGAAUUGACGGGGGCCCGCACAAGCGGUGGAGCAUGUGGUUUAAUUCGAUGCAACGCGAAGAACCUUACCUGGUCUUGACAUCCACAGAACUUUCCAGAGAUGGAUUGGUGCCUUCGGGAACUGUGAGACAGGUGCUGCAUGGCUGUCGUCAGCUCGUGUUGUGAAAUGUUGGGUUAAGUCCCGCAACGAGCGCAACCCUUAUCCUUUGUUGCCAGCGGUCCGGCCGGGAACUCAAAGGAGACUGCCAGUGAUAAACUGGAGGAAGGUGGGGAUGACGUCAAGUCAUCAUGGCCCUUACGACCAGGGCUACACACGUGCUACAAUGGCGCAUACAAAGAGAAGCGACCUCGCGAGAGCAAGCGGACCUCAUAAAGUGCGUCGUAGUCCGGAUUGGAGUCUGCAACUCGACUCCAUGAAGUCGGAAUCGCUAGUAAUCGUGGAUCAGAAUGCCACGGUGAAUACGUUCCCGGGCCUUGUACACACCGCCCGUCACACCAUGGGAGUGGGUUGCAAAAGAAGUAGGUAGCUUAACCUUCGGGAGGGCGCUUACCACUUUGUGAUUCAUGACUGGGGUGAAGUCGUAACAAGGUAACCGUAGGGGAACCUGCGGUUG
This 717-nucleotide ribosomal RNA is filed under the name Escherichia coli. Its description in RNAcentral is "bacterial SSU rRNA". It matches the Rfam family "Bacterial small subunit ribosomal RNA", at positions 803 to 1520 of the family's 1533-position model. The record is from RNAcentral. Lineage: Bacteria; Pseudomonadati; Pseudomonadota; Gammaproteobacteria; Enterobacterales; Enterobacteriaceae.